Long non-coding RNA from Salmo trutta (river trout), 1644 nucleotides. The record is from Ensembl. Lineage: Eukaryota; Metazoa; Chordata; Actinopteri; Salmoniformes; Salmonidae.
GUCAAUGUCAACACCACCCUCCUUUACUAACAAUGGAUAGUAAAGGAGGGAGGGGUGGGUGAAAGUAAAACGUAAACCACAUCCUGCUCCAACUCUGGCUCCUAAACAUUUCAACACUGGUGCUACUGACUGGAAUAAAGUCCAACAGGAUUUAAAACUCAACCAAUUCAUCUCCAUCCCCAGUUUCAUUAACAGUUUACAUGACCUGGUUAUCUAGCCUUGUGACUGCUUUUAGAGUCAGUAGCAAUUAGUUGUGUCCCCUGUGUUUUAAUGAUAUGUGUUGUAAAUAUGUAUUUAGCUUUUUAUGGAGUUUUUAAGAAAUGGCUGCUUUGUAAUGUCGCCACCUUUCUGCUUUGCGGCACAGGUUAUUGCCUUGUCUUGGUCAGGUCGUUAUUGUAAAAGAGAAUGUGUUCUCAAUGACUUACUUAAAUAAAAUACCAUGUAAUUAAGUCUAUAAAUUGAGAGAAGUCUGCUAAAUACAGUUAAACCCCGGCCCUAGAAGACGUAUUUAGGGACAAUCUACACCCUCUCAUGGCUAUUAUAUAGCUAAUAGACGAGUGUGACACCAAACUAACGACACUCUUCCUUCUUCAAUGCUCCCCAGACACUGCAUGAAACAUUUCCCUCUCACAUACCGCUAUUAGCAGCUAUUGACCUGGGGACAUUUUCCUGGCUUUAUUGAAGGGGAAAGAGGGAAAAUGGACGUCAUUAAAGCCCAUUGAUUGGGAGAAUGUCUGCCUGUGUGAAUGUGAGAGCAGGGUGUUGUUUGUCGGGGGCUGGUUGCUGACGCUGAAUUUCCUCAACCCUGAUAGGUGAUAAUGGUUCCAGAACCCUCGUGACAGACAGGCUGAAUGUCAUCAGUUUGUUGCUUCCGUCCUGGCGGGGCGGGGUGAGAUGUGGCUCUUCUCCUCCUCUGUUUGCUGUGACUGUCCUCUGUCUCUGGUUGGUGCUACUGCUCCUCCUAGUGUUUGUGUCCCCUCCCUCCGGUUCUCCCAUGUGAAUACACCCGAGGCCUGUAAGCAUCCCAGACUGGACAUUAGCAGGACUGAUGGCAUGGCAGAGAGACUCCCAGGGCCUCCUAAUCACACACAGAACAUUAUUGGCCCAUUUCUCAACUAUCCGUGAAAAGAAAAGCUAGCGUCAGCAUCAUUAUCGUUUGUCACUAACUCACCAGACUAAAGAGUGUGUGUGUGUGUGUGUGUGUGUGUGUGUGUGUGUGUGUGUGUGUGUGUGUGUGUGUGUGUGUGUGUGUGUGUGUGUGUGUGUGUGUGUGUGUGUGUGUGUGUGUGUGUGUGUGUGUGUGUGUGUGUGUGUGUGUGUGUGUGUAAGUAACAGAAGAGCAAGAUUAUUAAUUUAAGGAUCUUUGCUGUGCAGCAGAAUUAGACUGCUUUGUUUGAAUGCUUAAACUAAGGGAAACACAUAGACUCUGACUUCAUUGAUUUCAAAGUUAUGUUAAAUCAUGUUGUCUUUUGUAAUUCAUCAUGCCUUAUACCUUUCCUUGAUGAUGGUUCUAGCUCUGUUUGUUGGACAUGUUUAGCUAGUUUUUCCUGUAUUAGCUCCAUAGGUAUGGAGUGAUUUCAGUACCAACAGAAAUUGUAUUUGAAUUCAAUCAUUUUGAAUUUGUAUUAGGAUAUUGAAUUUAAU